AUACAUCGGAAUCUGCCUUGUUGUGGGGGAUAACGUAGGGAAACUUACGCUAAUACCGCAUAAGACCUGAGGGUGAAAGCGGGGGACCGCAAGGCCUCGCGCGACAAGAUGAGCCGAUGUCCGAUUAGCUAGUUGGCGGGGUAAAGGCUCACCAAGGCGACGAUCGGUAGCUGGUCUGAGAGGAUGAUCAGCCACACUGGAACUGAGACACGGUCCAGACUCCUACGGGAGGCAGCAGUGGGGAAUAUUGGACAAUGGGGGCAACCCUGAUCCAGCCAUGCCGCGUGUGUGAAGAAGGCCUUCGGGUUGUAAAGCACUUUUGUCCGGGAAGAAAUCUCACGAUUUAAUACGUCGGGAGGAUGACGGUACCGGAAGAAUAAGCACCGGCUAACUUCGUGCCAGCAGCCGCGGUAAUACGAAGGGUGCAAGCGU
RNAcentral lists this ribosomal RNA (432 nucleotides) under uncultured soil bacterium. RNAcentral describes it as "bacterial SSU rRNA". It matches the Rfam family "Bacterial small subunit ribosomal RNA", at positions 113 to 541 of the family's 1533-position model. The record is from RNAcentral.